ACUGGCCAAAGUGCUGCGUUUAGCUCCAUGGGGAUGUGGCCACCGUUCCCUCUGCGGCCCGGGAAGUAUCUCAGAGGAGCAGGGUAGUACCAGAUAGGGAGAGCCAGAGCGAAUAAAUCCAGUUCCAGCAUGGAGAGGGGAGCUGGGCAUGAAGUGCCACCCUUAGCUACUGGCAGUGUUAGCUUUGGGGAGAGGAAAGGUCACUUUUCUCUAAGAGAGUAGCCCUGAUAAGCCGACCAUGCUCCAGUGGAAGGCCACACGUCUAAGGAUAUUUGGGCAGCACAAACUGGCCUUAA
Molecule: long non-coding RNA, 296 nt
Organism: Mastomys coucha (southern multimammate mouse)
Lineage: Eukaryota; Metazoa; Chordata; Mammalia; Rodentia; Muridae
Exons: 2
Source: RefSeq, a predicted model, not a curated record